GAUCAUGGCUCAGGACGAACGCUGGCGGCGCGCCUAACACAUGCAAGUCGAACGAGAGAUGAGGAGCUUGCUCUUCAAAUCGAGUGGCGAACGGGUGAGUAACGCGUGAGGAACCUGCCUCAAAGAGGGGGGACAACAGUUGGAAACGACUGCUAAUACCGCAUAAGCCCACGGCUCGGCAUCGAGCAGAGGGAAAAGGAGCAAUCCGCUUUGAGAUGGCCUCGCGUCCGA
Molecule: ribosomal RNA, 231 nt
Filed under: uncultured bacterium
Lineage: Bacteria
Description: partial 16S ribosomal RNA
Rfam family: Bacterial small subunit ribosomal RNA
Source: RNAcentral